Molecule: ribosomal RNA, 1525 nt
Filed under: Nocardiopsis benisuefensis
Lineage: Bacteria; Bacillati; Actinomycetota; Actinomycetes; Streptosporangiales; Nocardiopsidaceae
Description: 16S ribosomal RNA
Rfam family: Bacterial small subunit ribosomal RNA
Source: RNAcentral
AGAGUUUGAUCCUGGCUCCCAGGACGAACGCUGGCGGCGUGCUUAACACAUGCAAGUCGAGCGGUAAGGACCCCUUCGGGGUACACGAGCGGCGAACGGGUGAGUAACACGUGAGCAACCUGCGCCCCUGACUCCGGGAUAAGCGGUGGAAACGCCGUCUAAUACCGGAUACGCCACCCGCCACCUCAUGGUGGAGGGUGGAAAGUUUUUCGGUCAGGGAUGGGCAUUCGCGGCCUAUCAGCUUGUUGGUGGGGUAACGGCCUACCAAGGCGAUUACUAGGGUAGCCGGCCUGAGAGGGCGACCGGCCACACUGGGACUGAGACACGGCCGCCAGACUCCUGCGGGAGGCAGCAGUGGGGAAUAUUGCGCAAUGGGCGAAAGGGCCUGACGCAGCGACGCCGCGUGGGGGAUGACGGCCUUCGGGUUGUAAACCGCUCUUUUACCACCAACGCAGGCCCGGAGUUUUCUUCGGGUUGACGGUAGGUGUGGGGAAUAAGGACCGGCUAACUACGUGCCAGCAGCCGCGGUAAUACGUACGGGGUCCGAGCGUUGUCCGGAAUUAUUGGGCGUAAAGAGCUCGUAGGCGGCUGGUGUCGCGUCUGCUGUGAAAGACCGGGGCUUAACUCCGGUUCUGCAGUGGAGAUACGGGCAUGCUAGAGGUAGGUAGGGGAGACUGGAAUUCCUGGUGUAGCUAGGUGAAAUGCGCAGAUAUCAGGAGGAACACCGGUGGCGAAGGCGGGUCUCGCUGGGCCUUACCUGACGCUGAGGAGCGAAAGCAUGGGGAGCGAACAGGAUUCCAGAUACCCUGGUAGUCCAUGCCGUAAACGUUGGGCGCUAGGUGUGGGGACCUUUUCCACGGUUUCCGCGCCGUAGCUAACGCAUUAAGCGCCCCGCCUGGGGCGAGUACGGCCGCAAGGCUAAAACUCAAAGGAAUUGACGGGGGCCCGCACAAAUGCGGCGGAGCAUGUUGCUUAAUUCGACGCAACGCGAAGAACCUUACCAAGGUGUUUGACAUCACCCGUGGACUCGCAGAGAUGUGAGGUCAUUUAGUUGGCGCGGGUGACAGGUGGUGCAUGGCUGUCGUCAGCUCGUGUCGUGAGAUGUUGGGCCUUAAGUCCCGCAACGAGCGCAACCCUUGUUCCAUGUUGCCAGCACGUAAUACGGUGGGGACUCAUGGGAGACUGCCGGGGUCAACUCGGAGGAAGGUGGGGAGGUGACGUCAAGUCAUCAUGCCCCUUAUGUCUUGGGCUGCAAACAUGCUACACCAUGGCCGGUACAAUGGGCGUGCGAUACCGUAAGGUGGAGCGAAUCCCUAACAAAGCCGGUCUCAGUUCGGAUUGGGGUCUGCAACUCGACCCCAUGAAGGUGCAGAGUCGCUAGUAAUCGCGGAUCAGCAACGCCGCGGUGAAUACGUUCCCGGUUGCCUUGUACACACCGCCCGUCACGUCAUGAAAGUCGGCAACACCCGAAACAAUUGCGGCCUAACCCCUUGUGGGAGGAGUGAGUGAAGGUGGGGCUGGCGAU